UACGUAGGGGGCUAGCGUUGUCCGGAAUCAUUGGGCGUAAAGUGCGUGUAGGCGGUCCGGUAAGUCCGCUGUGAAAGUCGAGGGCUCAACCCUCGAAUGCCGGUGGAUACUGUCGGGCUUGAGUACGGGAGAGGCGAGUGGAAUUCCCGGUGUAGCGGUGAAAUGCGCAGAUAUCGGGAGGAACACCAAUGGCGAAGGCAGCUCGCUGGGACGUGACUGACGCUGAGACGCGAAAGCGUGGGGAGCAAACAGG
This 253-nucleotide ribosomal RNA is filed under the name uncultured bacterium. RNAcentral describes it as "partial 16S ribosomal RNA". It matches the Rfam family "Bacterial small subunit ribosomal RNA", at positions 524 to 776 of the family's 1533-position model. The record is from RNAcentral.